This 2811-nucleotide long non-coding RNA is filed under the name Panax ginseng (ginseng). Its description in RNAcentral is "long non-coding RNA (PGIN_LNC012478)". The record is from RNAcentral. Lineage: Eukaryota; Viridiplantae; Streptophyta; Magnoliopsida; Apiales; Araliaceae.
UCUCAUUAUAACUGUCGUAUGAAUAGGCCAUUGGCCUAUCCUAUUACUUUGUCACUAAGUAGUAGCUGAUGAUGGUUGGAGGGAUGGAGUAGAAGGGAGUAGUUCACCAACUAUUCAUUGUCCAUCAUCUUCUUCUUCUUCUUCCUCCUACUGGUUCAAAACAUUGGGCAAAGCUAUUAAUUGGAUAUUAAUUCCUCCAUAAAUAGAGCUCCUUCUUAUUUACGUUGGUUUAAGUUGUCUGAGAAAUAGCUAUGGAGAGUUGAUAGAAUUGAAGAGCAAUCAGAGGAUUGAGGAGCCAUAGUUAGCCAAUUCCAAGCAUUCAAGUGGUAAUCUUGCUAACAUAUAAGUUCUCGAGUUCUAAGUUUCUUAGGGGUAAAAUGCAAAGUCGACCACUGAACUUUAUGGGGUUUUGGGUAUUGAGCCAUUUUCUUUUGGUCAACGCAAAUUGAGCCUCUUUCUAUUAAAAAUUUGGGCAAAGGGUCAAAAAUGCCCCUGAUGUUUACCCCGAUAUUCCACUUGCACCUUAAACUAAUUUUUUUUUCCAAAAGUACCCUUAACGUUACAUUUUUUGGGUCGCCCGUGCCCCUGCCGUUAACAGAAGACAAACGGAGUUAAAAUGUGAUGACGUGGCAGACUUAAAUAUAAAAUAUAUUCUAAAUAAAACAAUAUAUAUAAUUUAAUCAAAACAAAAAUACUAAAAUUCAAAAUAAAAAAAGUAUAACAUAUUUACAUCAUUUAAUCAAAAUAAUAAAAUUCAAAUUAUUUUUUUAACUAAUCAAAACAACUAAUUAAAUAAAAUAUGUAAAAUAAAAAGAUUCCAUUAAAAAAACAGAAAAAGGUAAGUAGUAUAAUUUUUCCCACCCAAUUACAGAAUUACUGUUUCCAUAAUAAAAAAAAAUCUUACUUCCUGCUAAAUCUAAUUCCUAUUUAACUUAUUAAAUCAACUAAAAUGCAUUCAAUUGAUAAAACUAUAUAAUUUUAAUGAGAAACAAAAUAAAAUUUUCAAAUCUGCUUAUGUGCAUACACAUGUAUUAGUUUAUUAUUAUUAUUAUUAUUAUUAUUAUUAUUAUUAUUAUUAUUAUUAUUUUGCCCUUUUUACGGUAAUCCAACUGAGAAAGGAGAGGACGAAUACUAAAAAUAAAUUAUAAAAAAAACCUUUGUUCUUCUUAAAGAAAAUUAAUAAAAAAUAAUUAAAAUUAAAUAAAAAUAAUAUUCUAUUUAUAGAACGGAAGGCGUAAUGUACAAUUAUUCAAAUAUAAACACAAUUCUAACACAAUACACAUAAACAAAAAAACAUAAUAAAAAGUUUUAUGAAUUUAUGAAAAAUAUAAUGAAAAUCAUUUUUUAGUUAGUAUUUGAUGUAAAUAUGUUAUGUUUUGAAUUUUAGUAUUUUGAUUAAAUGAUGUAAAUAUGUUAUACAACUUAUUUUAUUUAAUUAGUUAACAAAAUAAUUUGAAUUUUAUUAUUUUGAUUAAAUGAUGUAAAUAUGUUAUGUUUUUUUUUAUUUUGAAUUUUAGUAUUUUUUGUUUUGAUUAAAUGAUAUAUAUUGUUUUAUUUAGAAUAUAUUUAUAUUUAAGCCUGCCACGUCAUCACAUUUUAAUCAUGUUUGUCUUCUGUUAACGGCAGGGGCACGAGCGACCUAAUAAAUGUAACGUUAAGGGUACUUUUGGAAAAAAAAUUAGUUUAGGGUGCAAGCGGGAUAUCGGGGUAAACAUUAGGAGUAUUUUUGACCCUUUGCCCUUAAAAAAUUUGGACUUCGAGCGACAUGUGCCGCCUACGUGGCAGAUCUGAUAUAAUAUUGAACUUAAUCCCAAAAAUUAUGUUGUUGCCAAUAUUCAAACACGAGACCUCUAGCUUAAAACUUGGAUCCAAUGACCACCUGAGCAAACAAGCUUAUAAUUUGCAAGGAUUAAUAUUUAUAACUGAACAAAUCAUUUUUCCCAAAUUAAAACAGAUCCCCUUUCCCAUGCCAUGCGCAUCGUCGCUAGGAGCCUCGCCCGAGCCAAUAGCCCCUAUUUUUUUUAUCUUGAACCAGAUUUAUGGAACCUUUAAUCAUUAUGGAUACAAAGAGUUCUAAAACUGUUAUAAACUGAUCAGUGAUUAUUACAUCAUUUACUUUAUAAAGUGAUGUUUUAUUCACAAUUCAGUUUUAUCAGUUUUAAAACUGAACAAAGUAGAAUAAAUUGAGAAUUUUCAGUGAGUUGCUAUCACUGAGAAUUAGUAUAGGCUUGACAUAUAUCAAUUCUAUUAGCCUUUAGCAAACCUUAGCAGUAAGGGGUCAAUAAACACCUUAAGGACAGGGACUACCCGUGUCAAAUCCUUGUUCCAUUUAUUCUGUGUUCAUUUUAAUUUUUUCACCGUCACUAAAACACAGUCUUAAAUAAAAGAAUUGUACUAAAGCAGAGCAGAAAGAAAACAAUUUAAAUAAACACAGACAAAUCAACAUCAAAACAAUAGGAAUUUUAAUCUUCAUGAAUUUAUAGUUAUCAAAAUGAUAUGCUUCCGUAAGAACUCAAACUUAGAUCUAAAACGAAAUUCGAGAGAGAGAGAUCUGACAAUACAUACCAAUUACAGUGUAAGCAGGUUUUGGUAUGUUUCCAAUCCUUGUGUUUAAGCUAAAAGAUGCCGGAAAAACUAAUUGGAUUUCUUUCUUUCUUUUGUAUAAUUUGACUGUCGCGCUCGGGCCGGUGUUUUAUCCCGUGUUUGAAUUGAAUAUUAUCGUCACAUCACAUCGUCUCCUUCCUUCACCUUAGCUGGACAGUAUGUCCGUCGGUAGGAGCACUUAUGCUAAUUGCUAACGGUCAAGUCAAG